This 40-nucleotide ribosomal RNA is filed under the name Thelephoraceae sp. C.t.-3. RNAcentral describes it as "partial 28S ribosomal RNA". The record is from RNAcentral. Lineage: Eukaryota; Fungi; Basidiomycota; Agaricomycetes; Thelephorales; Thelephoraceae.
UUUGAUCUCAAAUCAGGUAGGACUACCCGCUGAACUUAAC